Molecule: long non-coding RNA, 770 nt
Organism: Chinchilla lanigera (long-tailed chinchilla)
Lineage: Eukaryota; Metazoa; Chordata; Mammalia; Rodentia; Chinchillidae
Product: laminin subunit alpha-3-like
Source: Ensembl
GAGCGAGUGGCUGAACUCCAGGUGGACCAGAUCUUGACCGAGAGUGAGACACGAGAGGCAGUUAUGGACCAGGUGAAGUUUCAGAGGUACAAGUGUGGUUCACUGCUGAUCUUUGUGAACCUGACUGUACUCGUCACACUCUCCCAUUUAUAUGUGUUCCUGAACCUUGUUUUUAGUAUCUUGGUGUUUGAUUCAUUAAUUUUCUAAUAAACAUUAUCAAAAUUUAAACAAAUUAAUCAGUUUGCAAGGCAUAAUUACACCAAAGAAGCCACCACCACUGGACCAAAGCACCCCAGUUUCAUGACAUGGAUAGUGGAAGUAACAACACACUUCUUAAUAUGGACACUGAAAAUGUUGUGUUUUACGUUGGAGGUUACCCACCUGAUUUUCAACUUCCAAGUAGAGUAAGAUUCCCUCCAUACAAAGGUUGUGUUGAAUUAGAUGACCUUAAUGAAAAAUGUUGUGAGCUUGUACAACUUCAAAAAAACUUUCAAUCUCAACACAACUGAAGUAGAACCUUGCAGACAGUGAGUGAAACUGGGUGGCCAGCAUCUCUGUACCUGGGAUGGGAACUGACUAUACUUCCACAUGUGGGAAGGGAUGGCCAGUGGGAUGCCAUGGAUACUGCUUGUCAUUUUGGGCUUACAGUUCUUAAAUUAUCUUUGCAUGCAACAAUAGCAGUGCAUCCCUAAAUCUAACAAUGGUGGGUUUUUCCUAACUUGAAUAAAACUUUUGACUGAUAGGGUUCUCUAAUUAAAAGAAAAAAUUCU